This 410-nucleotide ribosomal RNA is filed under the name uncultured microorganism. RNAcentral's name for it is "bacterial SSU rRNA". It matches the Rfam family "Bacterial small subunit ribosomal RNA", at positions 509 to 917 of the family's 1533-position model. The record is from RNAcentral.
CAGCAGCCGCGGUAAUACGUAGGGUGCGAGCGUUAAUCGGAUUUACUGGGCGUAAAGCGUGCGCAGGCGGCCCGUUAAGACAGGUGUGAAAUCCCUGGGCUCAACCUAGGAAUUGCGCUUGUGACUGGCGGGCUCGAGUACGGUAGAGGGGGGUGGAAUUCCUGGUGUAGCAGUGAAAUGCGUAGAGAUCAGGAGAAACACCGAUGGCGAAGGCAGCCCCCUGGGCCUGUACUGACGCUCAUGCACGAAAGCGUGGGGAGCAAACAGGAUUAGAUACCCUGGUAGUCCACGCCCUAAACGAUGGGUACUAGCCGUUUGGUGCGCGAUAGCGCUGAGUGGCGAAGCUAACGCGUGAAGUACCCCGCCUGGGGAGUACGGCCGCAAGGUUGAAACUUAAAGGAAUUGGCGGG